UGAACGCUAGCGGCAGGCCUAACACAUGCAAGUCGAACGGUAACAUUUCCAGCUUGCUGGAAGAUGACGAGUGGCGCACGGGUGCGUAACGCGUAUGCAACUUACCUAUAACUAAAGGAUAGCCCUGAGAAAUUGGGAUUAAUACUUUAUGGUACUAUAAUUUGGCAUCAUUUUAUAGUUAAAGAUUUAUUGGUUAUAGAUAGGCAUGCGUCCCAUUAGUUUGUUGGUGAGGUAACGGCUCACCAAGACUGCGAUGGGUAGGGGGCCUGAGAGGGUUAUCCCCCACACUGGUACUGAGACACGGACCAGACUCCUACGGGAGGCAGCAGUGAGGAAUAUUGGUCAAUGGAGGCAACUCUGAACCAGCCAUGCCGCGUGCAGGAAGAAUGCCCUACGGGUUGUAAACUGCUUUUAUAUAGGAAGAAACUUCCCGACUUGUCGGGAACUGACGGUACUAUAUGAAUAAGCACCGGCUAACUCC
RNAcentral lists this ribosomal RNA (481 nucleotides) under uncultured bacterium. RNAcentral describes it as "bacterial SSU rRNA". It matches the Rfam family "Bacterial small subunit ribosomal RNA", at positions 30 to 504 of the family's 1533-position model. The record is from RNAcentral.